Brienomyrus brachyistius is the source of this 634-nucleotide long non-coding RNA. RefSeq lists it as uncharacterized. The transcript is spliced from 3 exons. NCBI's taxonomy places the organism in Eukaryota, Metazoa, Chordata, Actinopteri, Osteoglossiformes, Mormyridae. The record is from RefSeq and is a predicted model, not a curated record.
GUCAAGCUGCGGCUUGGGAAAUAUUAGCGCGGAAAUGGAAAUCGUUUAGUAUAAAUUUCUAAUGCGCAGAGGCUCAGCCAGCGGCGAGCUCCUCCAUCUCCGCGCUAGAGGACGCCGGUGGGAUCGCAAAGUCACAAUGUGGACUGAAAUACCAGCUUGGGGUGCAAAUCAGAAGCUCUGACGGAGGAAGAGGGACAGAGAGAUGUGGCUUAUCGGGAGGCCAUGAAGGGUCCACCCAAUGGAUUCUUCGUUGCCCGACCUAUCCCAAGAUUCAUUGUGUGGAUUUUUACAAGGACUUGGUCUACAAAGGCUACAGUUCAAAAGCACACAGACUCUACUGAGACCAGCUGUAGAAACGAGUGGGCAAGAUGCAAAUGUAUGAAUGUCUUCCUCCCCUAAUGAAUAGCAGACGGCAUAAACAAUGCUGAACGCUAACGGAUACACACGAUGCAUUUUUAUUGAGAGAGCAUGGAACCCCCAUGAUGAUGUUGCUUCCUGGUCACCACAACCAAGCAGGAGGGGUAAACGACAGUCAAGGCAUUCCUCCUCCGAAGCGUGUGCAUCAAUGCACGAGGUGCAGUGUAGGCACGUGGCACGGGCAGGCCAACGUGACUGAGAGGAGGGCUGCUGGGCU